ACUAGGAUGUUGGCUUAGAAGCAGCCAUCAUUUAAAGAGUGCGUAAUAGCUCACUAGUCGAGUGACMCUGCGCCGAAAAUGUACCGGGGCUAAACAUAUUACCGAAGCUGUGGAKURYNCCUUUNGGWSWANUGGUAGGAGAGCGUUCUAAGGGCGUYGAAGSMWGAUCGYRAGGACWKSUGGAGCGCUUAGAAGUGAGAAUGCCGGURUGAGUAGCGAAAGACRGGUGAGAAUCCYGUCCACCGAWUGACUAAGGUUUCCWGRGGAAGGCUCGUCCGCYCWGGGUUAGUCGGGWCCUAAGCYGAGGCCGACAGGCGUAGGCGAUGGAUAACAGGUUGAUAUUCCUGUACCNCSUWGUWUYNGUUUKARNCRAUGGRGGGACGCAGGAGGCUAAGGAAUGCAGACGAUCGGAAAUGUCUGUCCAAGCAGUAAGUCUGAAGAGGAGUCAAAUGCUUCUUUUCUUAAGGACAAGCUGUGAUGGGGAGGGAAAUAAUAGUACCGAAGUUCCUGAUGUCACACUGCCGAGAAAAGCUUCUAGUGAGAAAACAGCGGCCCGUACCGCAAACCGACACAGGUAGUCGAGGAGAGAAUCCUAAGGUGAGCGAGAGAACUCUCGUUAAGGAACUCGGCAAAAUGACCCCGUAACUUCGGGAGAAGGGGUGCUGAUCAUACGAUCAGCCGCAGUGAAUAGGCCCAAGCGACUGUUUAUCAAAAACACAGGUCUCUGCAAAAUCGUAAGAUGAAGUAUAGGGGCUGACGCCUGCCCGGUGCUGGAAGGUUAAGAGGAGUGCUUAGCGCAAGCGAAGGUACGAAUUGAAGCCCCAGUAAACGGCGGCCGUAACUAUAACGGUCCUAAGGUAGCGAAAUUCCUUGUCGGGUAA
Molecule: ribosomal RNA, 881 nt
Filed under: Enterococcus faecium
Lineage: Bacteria; Bacillati; Bacillota; Bacilli; Lactobacillales; Enterococcaceae
Description: partial 23S ribosomal RNA
Rfam family: Bacterial large subunit ribosomal RNA
Source: RNAcentral